ACGUAGGGCGCAAGCGUUGUCCGGAAUUAUUGGGCGUAAAGAGCUCGUAGGGGUGUUGCGCUGCGCGUGAAAGCCCGGGGCUCAACCCCGGGUCUGCAGUGGGUACGGGCAGACUAGAGUGCAGUAGGGGAGACUGGAAUUCCUGGUGUAGCGGUGAAAUGCGCAGAUAUCAGGAGGAACACCGAUGGCGAAGGCAGGUCUCUGGGCUGUUACUGACGCUGAGGAGCGAAAGCAUGGGGAGCGAACAGGAUUAGAUACCCGCGUAGUCC
Molecule: ribosomal RNA, 269 nt
Filed under: uncultured bacterium
Lineage: Bacteria
Description: partial 16S ribosomal RNA
Rfam family: Bacterial small subunit ribosomal RNA
Source: RNAcentral